GGGGGUGUAGCUCAUCUGGUAGAGCGCGUGCUUAGCAUCUCUGAAUGACGUGCUCGUCUCGGGUGUGUUGUCGGUACAUGUUACUUGCACGAGGUACUGGGUUCGACUCCCAGCUCCUCCA
Coniochaeta sp. PMI_546 is the source of this 121-nucleotide non-coding RNA. NCBI's taxonomy places the organism in Eukaryota, Fungi, Ascomycota, Sordariomycetes, Coniochaetales, Coniochaetaceae. The record is from the annotation of a GenBank genome assembly.